Molecule: unclassified non-coding RNA, 374 nt
Filed under: Hevea brasiliensis (rubber tree)
Lineage: Eukaryota; Viridiplantae; Streptophyta; Magnoliopsida; Malpighiales; Euphorbiaceae
Source: RNAcentral
CUCUCCGAACUCUUUCAGCUAAGCUGUGGCUAUCUGUAGCCUGACCCCUCCUGGCUCUGACAUGGAUAUAGUCCUUGAGUGGCUCUGGUGGCUUUGAAUUAUCCUUAUUCUGUUUCUGGUUUGAGUUUUCUUCUUCAUUGACCUUAGUUGAAUCCUUUUCGUCCCCAUUAAUUUCCUUUGAUUUGCUUCUUUUAGCCUUCGAUUCAUCCAUCUCUGCUACAACCUUGGAAUCAGAAGCAGAAAGAGAUGAAGAGGGAGUUUCUUUGGCUUUUCCCUUGGUAAUUGCUUUCCUUUUCCUUGAAUUGGAAUCAUUCAGGCCUUUCAUGCUCAAUUUCCCACCUGGGAUCUGCUCAGAAACAGAAGAUUCGUCUCUU